Molecule: long non-coding RNA, 170 nt
Organism: Anneissia japonica
Lineage: Eukaryota; Metazoa; Echinodermata; Crinoidea; Comatulida; Comatulidae
Exons: 3
Source: RefSeq, a predicted model, not a curated record
AUUAGAGGCGUCGGCUGAUAGGCUUCAGUCCGGUCGUUCCAUGAAAAAUACUGGUAUACGAUUCGACUGUCCUGUUUAUAAAUCUGAACAUCAACCCACAUCAGUUCACAGACUAAUGCCCGCAGAUAUUCGGGUCAUUGCAGCACUUGGCGAUUCUAUAACGGUAUGUA